UUGCGGGAUGGAGCAGUUGGUAGCUCGUCGGGCUCAUAACCCGAAGGUCAUCAGUUCGAGUCUGGUUCCCGCUACCCA
Molecule: transfer RNA, 78 nt
Filed under: compost metagenome
Description: tRNA-Met
Rfam family: tRNA
About the family: Transfer RNA (tRNA) molecules are approximately 80 nucleotides in length. Their secondary structure includes four short double-helical elements and three loops (D, anti-codon, and T loops).
Source: RNAcentral